RNAcentral lists this ribosomal RNA (253 nucleotides) under uncultured bacterium. RNAcentral's name for it is "partial 16S ribosomal RNA". It matches the Rfam family "Bacterial small subunit ribosomal RNA", at positions 524 to 776 of the family's 1533-position model. The record is from RNAcentral.
UACAGAGACUGCAAGCGUUAUUCGGAUUCACUGGGCGUAAAGGGUGCGCAGGCGGCCGAGUGUGUGAGGCGUGAAAGCCCGGGGCUUAACCCCGGAAUUGCACCUCAAACUACACGGCUAGAGCAUUGGAGAGGGUAGCAGAAUUCAUGGUGUAGCAGUGAAAUGCGUAGAUAUCAUGAGGAAUACCAGAGGCGAAGGCGGCUACCUGGACAAUUGCUGACGCUCAGGCACGAAAGCGUGGAGAGCAAAAGGG